UUGUGGAGGAGGACGCCGAAGGUGGGGCUAAUGACUGGGGUGAAGUCGUAACAAGGUAGCCGUACCGGAAGGUGCGGCUGGAUCACCUCCUAACAGGGAGACAACAAAAUGUUUAAUAUUAUUAUUUUGUCACCUUAGGUCGAUCGGUAUCUCACGUUCUUAAUUUGUUAAGAAUUUCAUUUCCUAAGUUUUUCUAGGUCACACCCAUUAUUUUUCCUGGGCCAUUAGCUCAGGUGGUUAGAGCGCACCCCUGAUAAGGGUGAGGUCCCUGGUUCAAGUCCAGGAUGGCCCAUAUCUCUAUGUUGGGGGUAUAGCUCAGUUGGUAGAGCGCCUGCUUUGCAAGCAGGAUGUCAGCGGUUCGAGUCCGCUUACCUCCACUGAUUACCACCUCUUCCAUAACUGGUAAAAAGGAAAUGUUUUGAGUUGUGAUUAUUAUUCUGAACGAAUCUAGCUUCCUAAUGAAAUCAUUAAGAUGCUGGACUCAUUGAAUUAAUUUCAUUGUUUUCAGAGAACCUUGACAACUGCAUAGAUUUUUUUAAAGACAAUAAGCAUCUUUAAUGAUGCAGAUUUAUUAUUUGUGCGAAUGCAUUAAUAACAAUUCUAUUAAGCUGAUGCUUCAAUUUUGAAGUUAUUGGUCAAGCUACAA
Molecule: unclassified non-coding RNA, 646 nt
Filed under: uncultured Prochlorococcus sp.
Lineage: Bacteria; Bacillati; Cyanobacteriota; Cyanophyceae; Synechococcales; Prochlorococcaceae
Description: partial 16S-23S ribosomal RNA intergenic spacer; may also contain 16S ribosomal RNA and 23S ribosomal RNA
Rfam family: tRNA (bases 305-377)
Source: RNAcentral